UUCCCACAGCAGUUUUGAUCA
RNAcentral lists this non-coding RNA (21 nucleotides) under Caenorhabditis elegans. Lineage: Eukaryota; Metazoa; Nematoda; Chromadorea; Rhabditida; Rhabditidae. The record is from RNAcentral.